RNAcentral lists this transfer RNA (63 nucleotides) under Osphya bipunctata. RNAcentral describes it as "tRNA-Asp". Lineage: Eukaryota; Metazoa; Arthropoda; Insecta; Coleoptera; Melandryidae. The record is from RNAcentral.
AAAAAUUUAGUUAAUAAAUAACAUUAGUUUGUCAAACUAAAAUAAAUCUUAGAUUAAUUUUUA